Trachemys scripta elegans is the source of this 289-nucleotide long non-coding RNA. RefSeq lists it as uncharacterized. The record is from RefSeq and is a predicted model, not a curated record. Lineage: Eukaryota; Metazoa; Chordata; Testudines; Emydidae. The transcript is spliced from 3 exons.
UGGGUCUCACCUGAGGUGCAACUGUCCGCGCGGAAAGCCUCACCGAGGCGAUCGCCAGACGCUCAGGCCACACCCAUUGUUAAAGGACCAUUCAUGAAAGGAGCAGUUGGGGUUGUCUACACUGGAGUCCUCUCAGAGUAUUUCCAGCAUAUAGGACACACAAUAUCCCUUGUUGCUUCCAGGCAGAGCGCGUCUCCUCUUUCGCCCAGGCUUCCUCUUGGACUUUCGCUUAUGGCCAGCCCUGCGUGUCAAAGCCCUUCUUUUAAAGGGUUUCGGGGGACCUGUGCAU